This 210-nucleotide ribosomal RNA is filed under the name uncultured bacterium. Its description in RNAcentral is "partial 16S ribosomal RNA". It matches the Rfam family "Bacterial small subunit ribosomal RNA", at positions 567 to 774 of the family's 1533-position model. The record is from RNAcentral.
AAGCGCGCAGGCGGUUUGUUAAGUGAGAAGUGAAAGCCCUCGGCUUAACCGGGGAACGGCUUCUCAUACUGGCAGACUAGAGGAUGGGAGAGGAAAGCGGAAUUCCCGGUGUAGCGGUGAAAUGCGUAGAGAUCGGGAGGAACACCAGUGGCGAAGGCGGCUUUCUGGACCAUUACUGACGCUGAGGCGCGAAAGCGUGGGGAGCAAACA